AAUUAGAUUAGAUUAGCAAAUUAGAUUCGUCUGGAUGUGAAUGGCUACGUCGAUAUUGUAUUGUGUAUUAAGAAGAAGCUUUUCAUUUUUUACYGAAAGGCCAUAAGACAAGGAUCAUUCUUCGACUCUGCCGAACAAGAUUACCUUCCCCUGAAGCAAUGGUUUAUCAACAUUCUAUCUGUCUGAUUGUUGUGGCUUUCUUGAUUGGAUCAUCAAUAGCUCUUACUCCUAGAGAUCUUCCUCCGAAGGGUGAUGCUAAGAAGCUCGAGAAAAGGCUUGGUUGCAGCUGUGAUGGACAUGCUGGUACCUACUGGUGGAAUAAAUUGUCUUGUCCAAGCAGUUAUAAGUAUUACGGGACUUGUGCGAAAUUCAAUGGCGUCUGUUGCUGGUACAAGUCUUAACAGGCCAACACACUAAAAUGCCAGUAUUUAAAAAGCAAAUAAAGAUAAAGCUAUAAAUUGUAAAAGUAAUAUAUUAAAAUGAAAAAAAUAUUGUGGUAUCGUGGUAUGGAUAUAACUGUGCAUUGCUUUAAAAAUAAACAGAUAAAGAUCAGCAUGAACAACAAG
Actinia tenebrosa (Australian red waratah sea anemone) is the source of this 566-nucleotide long non-coding RNA. NCBI's taxonomy places the organism in Eukaryota, Metazoa, Cnidaria, Anthozoa, Actiniaria, Actiniidae. The record is from RefSeq and is a predicted model, not a curated record.